Molecule: RNA transcript, 1701 nt
Organism: Alnus glutinosa
Lineage: Eukaryota; Viridiplantae; Streptophyta; Magnoliopsida; Fagales; Betulaceae
Exons: 17
Source: RefSeq, a predicted model, not a curated record
AAUUCAAGAAACGGUUUACAAUCCAUUUGACUUCUGACGCAGCUAAAGGGCGAGAGAGCAGAAGAGAGAAUGGGGAGCAGGACCAAUUUCUACAAGAACCCUUCCAUAUCCUACAAGAAAGACUUCGGUCUCUCCUCCGUCCUUCAAAACCUUCGAGCUUACAACAUCGCCACCGGCAAUGCUCCUCUAGCGGAAGAACAACCUCCGGAAGAGGAGAAAAGGGCGUGCCAGAAACGACGCCGUGACCUGAAACAACAGCGCAAUCGAAACCAUGUGAUCGAAGAAGGGCCUAUGUCUCACCAGGAUUACGUCGCAAAAAGAAGGAAAGAACUUAGUUCGGCUCAGACUUACGAGGAAUUAACCGCCAAUGUUUUGGGAACUUCUAGUUCGGGUGCAAAUUUAGUUGCAUAUGAAAGCGAUGAAAGUACUUCAGAAUGUGGAGAAAAGCAAGAUCCUCCAAAUUCAGGUCCCAUAAAGGAAUAUGAUCAAGUUAAGAGCAGAAGUGAGCAACGUUUUCCUGAUCCAGGAGAGCCUGUUUGUAUAGUAUGUGGCAGAUAUGGAGAAUAUAUAUGCAAUGAGACCAAUGAUGAUAUCUGCAGCAUGGACUGUAAAGCAGAGCUGUUGCAAAUUCUUGAACUGGAUAAGGGGCCCUCAAGUUACCAAAUUCCAGAUGUCUCCUCAUCUGGACUUAAAGGUGCCUUACCAUUGCCUGAGUUCGGGGAGGACACCUGGGAUUAUAACCGCCAUUGCUGGUCCAAAAAGAGAUCUAGUCUUUGUACUUUUGAAUGUUGGAAAUGUCAGAGGCCAGGACACCUUGCUGAAGAUUGUUUGGUGGCAGCAGGGCAGAACAAGUCAAGUUCAAUAUCCAGAGGUCUUCUUGGACUGUACAGAAGAUGCCACCAGAUUGGAAGAAACUUGUCAACUGCAAAUUGCAAUGCAUGCCGCAGCUUAUUAGCUUUGGCUACAUGCCUUGACUGCAGUACUGUCCUAUGUGACAAUGCAGGUCAUUUGAACGAGCAUAUCAAGACACAUCUGUCCCAUCAACAUUAUUACUCCCAUAAACUCAAGCGACUGGUAAAAUGCUGCAAAUCAACAUGCCAGGUGACUGAUAUCAGAGAUCUUUUGGUUUGUCACCACUGUUUCGAUAAAGCCUUCGACAAGUUCUAUGAUAUGUACACUGCAACUUGGAAAGGAGCUGGACUUUCUAUCAUUUGGGGCUCUAUUUGCUGUGAAGACCACUUUGCUUGGCACAGGAUGAAUUGUUUGAGCGCGGAUGUGGAAGACAGUGCAUAUAUUAUCAGUCGGAAUGCCCAGAAAGACAAGCGUGUACAACUUAGUGACUUCAUUUUCUGAUGGGGUCGUGAAGUGCCACCCAAUGUCCACUCCCAGACCGUGAAAGGUCUCUCUGGGUCUCUCUCUUUCAACACACAACGAAAGGCAGAGGAGACUCUCCCAAAGCAGUGCAGCUGCGUUCCGGUGGACAGUGAGCCUAGUUCGUCUACCAUAUUUGCUGCAAGUAUUUCCUGGUAAUUUUUAUAUCUAAAUCUCAACUUAUUGUAUUGAGAUUCUUGAGAAUCCCUUGUUUUGGGUUAUAAUUUGUUGUAAUCUUUUUUGUUUGUUUCUUCAUUUUAUCUGAACACAGCGAAUGAUUCACUUUGUUUAUAUGUUGGUUUAACGCCAUUUUUAUUGCUUUAAAUUCAA